UUUCAUGAGAGUUUGAUCCUGGCUCAGGAUUAACGCUGGCGGCGUGCAUAACACAUGCAAGUCGAACGAUGAAACUUAAAUG
Molecule: ribosomal RNA, 82 nt
Filed under: Anaerococcus octavius
Lineage: Bacteria; Bacillati; Bacillota; Tissierellia; Tissierellales; Peptoniphilaceae
Description: partial 16S ribosomal RNA
Rfam family: Bacterial small subunit ribosomal RNA
Source: RNAcentral